Molecule: ribosomal RNA, 445 nt
Filed under: uncultured Anaerolineaceae bacterium
Lineage: Bacteria; Bacillati; Chloroflexota; Anaerolineae; Anaerolineales; Anaerolineaceae
Description: bacterial SSU rRNA
Rfam family: Bacterial small subunit ribosomal RNA
Source: RNAcentral
GCACAAGCGGUGGAGCAUUGUGGUUUAAUUCGAUGCUACACGAAGAACCUUACCAGGUUUGACAUGCAAGUGGUAGGAAUCUGAAAAGGGACCGACCUUCGGGGAGCUUGCACAGGUGCUGCAUGGCUGUCGUCAGCUCGUGUCGUGAGAUGUUCGGUUAAGUCCGCUAACGAGCGCAACCCUCACUGUGUGUUAUAUGUGUCACACGGGACUGCCGGUUUUAAGCCGGAGGAAGGUGGGGAUGACGUCAAGUCAGCAUGGCCUUUAUAUCCUGGGCUACACACACGCUACAAUGGUCGGUACAAUAGGUUGCCAAGCCGCGAGGCGGAGCCAAUCCACAAAGCCGGCCUCAGUUCAGAUUGUAGGCUGCAACUCGCCUGCAUGAAGAUGGAGUUGCUAGUAACCGCAGGUCAGCAAUACUGCGGUGAAUACGUUCCCGGGUCUU